This 253-nucleotide ribosomal RNA is filed under the name uncultured bacterium. RNAcentral's name for it is "partial 16S ribosomal RNA". It matches the Rfam family "Bacterial small subunit ribosomal RNA", at positions 524 to 776 of the family's 1533-position model. The record is from RNAcentral.
UACGAAGGGGGCUAGCGUUGCUCGGAAUCACUGGGCGUAAAGCGCACGUAGGCGGCUUCUUAAGUCAGGGGUGAAAUCCUGGAGCUCAACUCCAGAACUGCCUUUGAUACUGAGUAGCUUGAGUCCGGGAGAGGUGAGUGGAACUGCGAGUGUAGAGGUGAAAUUCGUAGAUAUUCGCAAGAACACCAGUGGCGAAGGCGGCUCACUGGCCCGGUACUGACGCUGAGGUGCGAAAGCGUGGGGAGCAAACAGG